GCAUGCUCAGUACGGCGAGUGAGCGGCAAAAGCUCAAAUUUGAAAUCUGCGUAAGCCGAGUUGUAAUUUGAAGAUGGCUACUUUGGUAAUGGCUCUUGUCUAUGUUCCUUGGAACAGGACGUCACAGAGGGUGAGAAUCCCGUGCGAUGAGAUGUCCAUUACCGUGUAAAGUGCUUUCGAAGAGUCGAGUUGUUUGGGAAUGCAGCUCUAAGUGGGUGGUAAAUUCCAUCUAAAGCUAAAUAUUGGCGAGAGACCGAUAGCGAACAAGUACAGUGAUGGAAAGAUGAAAAGAACUUUGAAAAGAGAGUGAAAAAGUACGUGAAAUUGUUGAAAGGGAAGGGCUUGAGAUCAGACUUGGUAUUUUGUAUGGCUUGCUUUCGGGCGGGUCCUCUGCAGUUUACUGGGCCAGCAUCGGUUUGGGUGGCAGGAUAAUAGCAUAGGAAUGUGGCUCUACUUCGGUGGAGUGUUAUAGCCUUUGUUGAUACUGCCUGCCUAGACCGAGGACUGCGUCUUUUGACUAGGAUGCUGGCAUAAUGAUCCUAAGCCGCCCGUCUUGAAACCACGGACCA
RNAcentral lists this ribosomal RNA (569 nucleotides) under Fermentozyma sake. RNAcentral describes it as "eukaryotic LSU rRNA". It matches the Rfam family "Eukaryotic large subunit ribosomal RNA", at positions 73 to 668 of the family's 3401-position model. Lineage: Eukaryota; Fungi; Ascomycota; Pichiomycetes; Serinales; Debaryomycetaceae. The record is from RNAcentral.